GCUAAUAGUAGGUGACAAGGUUGUUUGGACGGCGACGUUCACAUGCUGGCCCCCGCUGGGAUUGUGGUUGUCAGUUGUUUCUCUUGCUUAAAUGGCUCGGGCUGGUGGUUAAGACCUAAACAACAACGAUUCGGUGGGGGGUGUUAUCGAUGCGAGCCUUUGGUAGAGGCUGAUGUGAUUCUGAUUUCUAAAAUGUGCUCAUAGUGGAGGAGGUUGGGGU
RNAcentral lists this long non-coding RNA (220 nucleotides) under Zea mays. RNAcentral describes it as "long non-coding RNA NONZMAT003824". Lineage: Eukaryota; Viridiplantae; Streptophyta; Magnoliopsida; Poales; Poaceae. The record is from RNAcentral.